This 1913-nucleotide long non-coding RNA is filed under the name Anser cygnoides (Swan goose). RNAcentral describes it as "lncRNA (ENSACDG00005016908.1)". The record is from RNAcentral. Lineage: Eukaryota; Metazoa; Chordata; Aves; Anseriformes; Anatidae.
GCCGGCGCCCGACGUGCGGAAGAGGCUCCUGGAGCUGCUCGUCCUCCUCACGGAGUGCUUCCCCCGCUCCGUGCUCAUGACCGUGCUCUUCAUCUGCCCGUCCCAAGAAAGGUACCGGCCCCCGAGCCUCCAGGGCGCCCCAAACCGCAGCCCCCGGGGCUCCCCCGAUAACCCCGCGGGGCCCCCGCCGAUAACGCCCUCUCCGUGCCCGCAGCGCCUCGAUGGACAUGUGGGAGGUGAUGUUUGCCGUGCCCGCCAUGGCGAAGCGGCUCCUGCACGAGCUCCACCUGCUGCUGCACGACAGGAACAUCCGCGAGUUCCUCGGGGUGGCCGAGGACCUCAGCCUCGUCCGCCUCAGCCUCCUCUACGCCCAGCGCCCCGAAGACCCCGUCCCCAAGGAGCUGCGGGACGUGGAGUGCCUGCAGCGCUGCCUCAGGACCGCCAACUUCCACCUGCUCUGGCUGGCGCUCAAAGGCCUGGCGGCGCUGAUGGAGAGGCCGCAGCUGGCCAAGGCAGGGCAGUGCCUGCUGCCGGACGUGCUGGAGACCCUGCAGUUCGGCAAGCCCCACAUCACGGCGGCGGCCCUGGCGGUCUGCGGCAACAUCCUCGGCAUCGUGGAGAAGAAGGCGGCCAGCCUCACCGCCCUCGAGCUGGUCGACGUGGUCAAGCCUCUCCUGGACAACGAGGCCGCCGCGGUGCGGGAGAGCUCCAUGAAGCUCUUCAAGGCGGCCAUGGAGCGCGUGCUGUGGAGGCACAAGACGCAGAUGUGGAAGAAGGUGCGCAAGAUCCUCGUCCCGCUCUACCUGCGCAUGAGCGACGAGACCCACAGCGUGGCCAAGGCCUCCCAAGAAGCCCUCAUGGCGGCGGCGGAGCUCUUGUGGUGGGAUGAGCUGAAGGACGUGGCCCACAUGGAGCAGACCUGGAGGAUCAGAGCGUGCCUGGUGAGGGCGGCCUCCGCGGCGAGGCUGGCGGGGGGCUCUCGGGGGCUCCCCGAGGUGGGGGGGAAGAAACGGGGCCGGGGAGGCUCACCGAGCCUCGCGGCCUCUCCAGCUGCAGCAGGAUCGAGACCGGGUAGAGAAGCGCCUACAGCAGAGCCGGGCGUACCUGGAGGACCCUCAGGCAUCCGUGCGCGAGGAGACCGUGAGGUUCAUCGGUGAGGCCACCUCCCUGCCCCAGCGGCCUCCGCAAGAGGCCCCGCGGCCUCCCCUCGCCCUGCCCGGGGCGGAGGCUGACGGGCGGCUUUGCUCCUAGGGCUCGCCGCGGAGCUCCUCCAGGACCAGAGCGAAGAGAAGCUGCGCGAAAUCAUCGACAGUGAGUGAGGGGAGCACUGGAGGCCGGGCGGGGGAGGACUGGAGGCCGGGCCUCCGCCCCGGGGGAGGCGCGGUGGAGGCUGGGGGGGGGAACGAAUCGGGGGGGCCGCGGGGCGCUCGGAGCGGCUGCUCCCCGCGUUCCUCCCGGCUGGGGGGCUCCCGGAGGGGUCUCCGCGGCCCGAGCGGAGGCUCCAGCCUCUCUCCGUCCUCCCGCAGUCCUGCAGCCCAUGAUGCACGACGCGGCGCCCUCGGUGCGCGCGGAGACCUCCCGCACCAUCCAGGCCCUGCUGCAGCAUCGCAAGUGGCUCCGGCGGCUGCCGGUGCCGUGGAACCCGCUGGCGGCGCUCUGCUGCUGGCCUCGAAGGCGCCGCCAGAGGCCGAAGACCGAGCCCCAGCCCGAGGAGAGCCCAGAAGGUUCCGGCUCUGAAGGGACGUCCAAGGACCCAUCCCCCUGCCAGAGCAAGGACGACUAGCUCACCUCACGGCCGCAGGGGGUUCGGAUGCCUGCAGAGGAGCCUCCGCACCCCCCCCGGGCAGCCUGCUCCACGUUUUGCCGCCCUCACCACAAAUAAAUUUCGUCCCCAUGUUUGUCCGGUGCCUCCU